This 433-nucleotide ribosomal RNA is filed under the name uncultured bacterium. RNAcentral's name for it is "partial 16S ribosomal RNA". It matches the Rfam family "Bacterial small subunit ribosomal RNA", at positions 29 to 507 of the family's 1533-position model. The record is from RNAcentral.
AACGAACGCUGGCGGCAGGCUUAAUACAUGCAAGUCGAGCGGGCACUUCGGUGUCAGCGACGCACGGGUGCGUAACGCGUGGGAACAUGCCUUUAGGUACGGAACAACCAAGGGAAACUUUGGCUAAUACCGUAUAAUAUCUCUGGAUCAAAGAUUUAUCGCCUAAAGAUUGGCCCGCGUUAGAUUAGGUAGUUGGUGGGGUAAUGGCCUACCAAGCCGACGAUCUAUAGGGGGUCUGAGAGGAUGAUCCCCCACACUGGAACUGAGACACGGUCCAGACUCCUACGGGAGGCAGCAGUAAGGAAUAUUGGACAAUGGGCGAAAGCCUGAUCCAGCCAUGCCGCGUGAGUGAUGAAGGCCUUAGGGUUGUAAAGCUCUUUUAGAUGGGAAGAUAAUGACUGUACCAUCAGAAUAAGCCCCGGCUAAAUUCGUG